GAGGUUUUAGUAUUUUUAGUAUUUUUUGUUGUCUGCAAAAAGGUUUUGGCCUUU
RNAcentral lists this transfer RNA (54 nucleotides) under Gongylonema pulchrum. RNAcentral describes it as "tRNA-Asp". Lineage: Eukaryota; Metazoa; Nematoda; Chromadorea; Rhabditida; Gongylonematidae. The record is from RNAcentral.